UACGGGUGAGGCAAGCGUUGUUCGGAAUCACUGGGCGUAAAGCGCACGUAGGCGGCUUUUUAAGUCAGGGGUGAAAUCCUGGAGCUCAACUCCAGAACUGCCUUUGAUACUGAGAAGCUCGAGUCCGGGAGAGGUGAGUGGAACUGCGAGUGUAGAGGUGAAAUUCGUAGAUAUUCGCAAGAACACCAGUGGCGAAGGCGGCUCACUGGCCCGGUACUGACGCUGAGGUGCGAAAGCGUGGGGAGCAAACAGG
Molecule: ribosomal RNA, 253 nt
Filed under: uncultured bacterium
Lineage: Bacteria
Description: partial 16S ribosomal RNA
Rfam family: Bacterial small subunit ribosomal RNA
Source: RNAcentral